This 2260-nucleotide long non-coding RNA is filed under the name Jatropha curcas. RNAcentral's name for it is "long non-coding RNA (JCUR_LNC000836)". Lineage: Eukaryota; Viridiplantae; Streptophyta; Magnoliopsida; Malpighiales; Euphorbiaceae. The record is from RNAcentral.
AAUAUGGAGCAAGUAGCAUGCCAAAGAAUUGCCAAUGCCAGACUUCAGGAUCUGAUAAAAGACUUUGCAAUUGUGAAAUUGUUUGUGGAAAAUAAUUAUAUUAUCUGCAUCAGCCAAAGCACUAGAUUUCAUAGAUGUUUAGUUUUAAAAGCUUUGGAAGUUAUUGUAAUAAUAAUGACAUUAAUAAUGGUCACAGCUGAGAAGAUUGUUGUCAAUUCUUAAUAAAUCAGUUAUCUAUCUAUGAACAAUUGUUGUUAUUUAUUUAUUUUUAUUUCUUUUCUUUUCUUUUCAUUUAUGCUUGCUAUUUUUUUUUCAUUGUUGAAUUUUUCAAAACGUUAAUGCUCCGUAAAUUUUCAAAAAAUAACUUAAUUAUCUUUAAAAAUAUUUUUCAAAUAACUCAUUUUUCAUUAUUUGGUUGCAAUGAAACUUGAGAAAUAUUUUUAUGAAAAUAUAAUUAAUAAAUUUUAAAUGUAUUUUACUCAUUAUUCUAAAGAAUUUACUGUUAAGAAAAGAGAGAAACUUUUAGCACCAAUGAUUAUUAAUUUAUCACAAUUAUUAUUGAAAGAUAUUCAUAGUUGUUUAUAUUUAAUUGUUCCUUCCUUUUACAUUAUAUUAAUUUUAGAGUUUAAAUUUUAAAAUAAAAAAUUAACAUUGCUAGAUAGUUAAUGUUGAACUAUAUAUAUUUUUAAAUAAAUACAAAAGUAAUUAGUUAAUAAUGUGAAUUUAUAAAUAUUUUUUCUUGCACAAUAUCAUCAUUUAUAUCAAGGAAGCAAUACGGGCACUUCAGUGGAAAUACCAAAUCAUCAAAGUUUUGUCUUAUAAAAAACUUUAAACAGCAAGACAAUUAGAACAUUGGACAAGACAAAAGUUAUAUAAGUUAGCACAAUGAGCCUACGUUAUGGACUCAAGUCCGUACAGAUUUGUUCCUGAGUUAAAACCAAUUCGUAGCCCAAAAACUCUCUUAUUAAUUUAAAGUUAGCCAUUUUUUAUGUAUAUCACUUUUAACUUGUACUUAGCCGAUGAGGGAUUCGCCUAGGGUGUCACAAAAUUAUAUAUAAAUACAUAAAAUUAAAAUUAUAAAUAAACAAAGUAAAUAAUGAACAAGUACAAUGACUAAAUAUAUAAAAAAGAUAUUUUAAUAUGAUGAUAAAAGACUAGUAUUUACAUUCAAAUAAGAAUUACACAGACAAAAAACAACAAAAAUAAUAUAAAAAAGUUAAAUUAUAUAUAAUAAUAAUAAUAAUAAUGUGUAAUGCAUAUUUUUUAUUACUUCUAAUAUUAAAUUGGAAUAUAUAGCCAAAUAUAAACCAAUUCAUAAAUGUUGAGGUUACCUUAAUUAAUCCUUAUAUAUGGAUUUGGUAUGACAAACUUGAUUAUGAUAUUAAAUUGGAAGAUUCAUAAUUAUCCAUGUCAUUUUUUCUAAGGUUCUCUUUAAAUUAGGCAGAAAUUUCCAUAUAGGAAAUAUAAAAAUCUCCAAGUUACUUAAUUUGGUUCUAACAGUUGUUUAUGCACAUAAUAAAAAAUAUCCAUAUUAGUCAUUUAGGUGCCUAUAAAUUUGGAGUUCAUACUCAAGCAAUGUAUACAUUUUAUCAUUGAAACAACUCAAAAUUAGAAGCAAACAUUAUGAAGUCAACAACCAUUCUCUUUGCUUUUUGUGUGAUGCUAUUAACUUCAUCAAUAUGUAUUCAAGGUAAGUUUGUCAUAUUUGUCGUUACCACGAAGCAUAUAGGAAAAAAAAAAAUUCUAGCCAAUUAGAUGUGGUGUGGUCUGAUUGGUCUUUUCACUCAUAUGAAAAGUAAGAGAUCUCGAAUUUGAGUUCUCUCGAACAGUUUAGAGGAAAGCUAUCCAUAAUUGUCUAGUCCGCGGUAUUAUUUCGGUCGAUCGGGCCUCGUAAUAAAUAAAAAAAAAUUUAUAAAUAAUAAUAAUAAAAGAGAUAAUUUUAUGUUUGUUUUUGUUUGACAUGCAGGGGAUACGACUUGGUGCCCCAAGCAAGAUAUAUUUCCAGGAGGGCCUUGUGGAGCAAAUGGAAGCUCCCAAUGUUUGACUGACUUCUUGGGAAAAUAUGGAGCAAGUAGCAUGCCAAAGAAUUGCCAAUGCCAGACUUCAGGAUCUGAUAAAAGACUUUGCAAUUGUGAAAUUGUUUGUGGAAAAUAAUUCUAUUAUCUGCAUCAGCCAAAGCACUAGAUUUCAUAGAUGUUUAUUUAUAAAAGCUUUGGAUGUUAUUGUAAUAAUAAUGACAUUAAUAAUGAUCACAGCUGAG